AUUGAACGCUGGCGGAAUGCUUUACACAUGCAAGUCGAACGGCAGCACGGACUUCGGUCUGGUGGCGAGUGGCGAACGGGUGAGUAAUGUAUCGGAACGUGCCCAGUCGUGGGGGAUAACGUAGUGAAAAUUACGCUAAUACCGCAUACGAUCUAUGGAUGAAAGCGGGGGAUCGCAAGACCUCGCGCGAUUGGAGCGGCCGAUAUCAGAUUAGGUAGUUGGUGGGGUAAAGGCCCACCAAGCCAACGAUCUGUAGCUGGUCUGAGAGGACGACCAGCCACACUGGAACUGAGACACGGUCGAGACUCCUACGGGAGGCAGCAGUGGGGAAGUGUGGACAAUGGGCGAAAGCCUGGGCCAUCCAUUCCGCGUGCAGGAUGGAGGCCCUCGGGUUGCAAACUGCUUUUGUGCAGAACGAAAAUGUUUCUACUAAUACUAGGGGCUCACGACGGUACUGUAAGAAUAAGCACCGGCUAACUACGUGCCAGCCGCCGCGGUAA
RNAcentral lists this ribosomal RNA (500 nucleotides) under uncultured bacterium. RNAcentral describes it as "partial 16S ribosomal RNA". It matches the Rfam family "Bacterial small subunit ribosomal RNA", at positions 30 to 523 of the family's 1533-position model. The record is from RNAcentral.